Molecule: small RNA, 27 nt
Filed under: Bombyx mori (domestic silkworm)
Lineage: Eukaryota; Metazoa; Arthropoda; Insecta; Lepidoptera; Bombycidae
Description: ovarian small RNA-6144
Source: RNAcentral
UACGUGCAUUAAACAGCUCUGACAUCU